Molecule: ribosomal RNA, 1210 nt
Filed under: uncultured Ceratobasidiaceae
Lineage: Eukaryota; Fungi; Basidiomycota; Agaricomycetes; Cantharellales; Ceratobasidiaceae
Description: eukaryotic LSU rRNA
Rfam family: Eukaryotic large subunit ribosomal RNA (bases 566-1210)
Source: RNAcentral
AAGGAUCAUUAUUGAAUGAAUGUAGAGUCGGUUGUCGCUGGUCCCUUCGGGGGCAUGUGCACGCCUUCUCUUUCAUCCACACACACCUGUGCACUCGUGAGACGGAAGCCCUCGGGCGUCCGUCUGCUCUACAUAAACUCAUAUCUAUAACUCGAAUGUAAUUGAUGUAACACAUCCUUAAACUAAGUUUCAACAACGGAUCUCUUGGCUCUCGCAUCGAUGAAAACGCAGCGAAAUGCGAUAAGUAAUGCGAAUUGCAGAAUUCAGUGAAUCAUCGAAUCUUUGAACGCACCUUGCGCUCCUUGGUAUUCCUUGGAGCAUGCCUGUUUGAGUAUCAUGAAAUUAUCAAAAUAAUUCUUUCGUUCGUUCGAUUGAAUUUUAUUUUGGACUUGGAGGUCUGCAGAUUCACGUCUGCUCCUCCUAAAUAAAUUAGCUGGAUCUCAGUGAGCUCGGUUCCACUCGGCGUGAUAAGUAUCACUCGCUGAGGACACUGUAAAAGGUGGCCGGGAUUGCGGAUGAACCGCUUCCAAUCGUCUAUUUACUUAGACAACAAUACUUUAUGAUCUGAUCUCAAAUCAGGUAGGACUACCCGCUGAACUUAAGCAUAUCAAUAAGCGGAGGAAAAGAAACUAACAAGGAUUCCCCUAGUAACGGCGAGUGAAGCGGGAAGAGCUCAAAUUUAAAAUCUGGCGGUGUACUCCGUCCGAGUUGUAGUCUAGAGAAGCAUCAUCCGUGCCGGACCAUGUACAAGUCUCUUGGAACAGAGCGUCAUAGAGGGUGAGAAUCCCGUCCUUGACAUGGACUCCCGGUGCUUUGUGUUGAGCUCUCAACGAGUCGAGUUGUUUGGGAAUGCAGCUCAAAAUGGGUGGUAAAUUCCAUCUAAAGCUAAAUAUUGGCGAGAGACCGAUAGCGAACAAGUACCGUGAGGGAAAGAUGAAAAGCACUUUGGAGAGAGAGUUAAACAGUACGUGAAAUUGUUGAAAUGGAAACGAUUGAAGUCAGUCGCGUUCUCUGGGAUUCAGCCUUGCUUCUGCUUGGUGCAUUUCCUAGUCUACGGGCCAGCAUGGAUUUCGACCGUUGGAAAAGGGCUGGGGGAAUGUGGCACCUUCGGGUGUGUUAUAGCCCCUUGUCGCAUGCAUCGGUUGGGAUCGAGGACCUCAGUGCACGCUUCGGUUGUGCUUUGAUGCUGGCGUAAUGGCUUUAAACGACC